GUUUGUCCAAAUGAAAGACAGAGACUUGAUAUAAAAAAUAUAUUUCUUCUCUCUUUCAAAUUUCAUUUCCACCUCGUCAAGCUUCUUUCUUUAGCAGAAAAGUUUGUGGUGUAGAGAUGGGUAUUAACAGUUCAGGGUACUUUAUCCACCUUCCAGUUAACAACAUUUGCAGGGUACUUUAUCGUUACGAGGAUGAUCAAGUGCUGCUAUCGUUUAUUUAGUCGCAAACAAAGUUGGGUGUUUAUGAUUCUAGAGAUGGUACUUUUAUGACUGUAGAAAUUCAAAAGAACUAUAGUUUCCCGAGUCUAGAAGUCUACCAAGAGACUUUGAUAUCACCUAUUCUUAAUAGUAAUCCAGCCUAACUGUAGCUAUUUUGUUAUGUAUUGUUGUUAAAAAUAUUUAUUGUUCAAGGAAAUUCACAGCAUGAGAAAGUGGUGUGUUAGUUUGAUUUAUUUGAUGGUUAUAAUUUUUUGGUUUUCUGGAUUGGAAUUAGAUGUUAUGCCCAAUCACUUAUAUGUUUGUUAAAAUGUACGUCGAUUUCUCCAAAAUUUCAUUAUUGUGCUACAAAACCGUACUGUUGUUGGGAUGCCUGAAACAAUGUGAAUUAAGCUGUAUGUUAGUUCUGAUCUGAUAUAUUUUUGCAAAAAGAAAAGAGCUGC
Molecule: long non-coding RNA, 659 nt
Filed under: Medicago truncatula (barrel medic)
Lineage: Eukaryota; Viridiplantae; Streptophyta; Magnoliopsida; Fabales; Fabaceae
Description: lncRNA gene47579
Source: RNAcentral